UUUCCGUAGGUGAACCUGCGGAAGGAUCAUUCAUAAUAAAGUGUUCUAUGGCACUUUUUAAAAAUCCAUCUCCACCUUGUGUGCAAUGUUAGAUCUCGUCAAUCUUGGCGAGAUUUUUAUACAUCAACUCAUUCUUUAACUAAUUUGUCUGAAAAAUAUUAUGAAUACUUAAUUCAAAAUACAACUUUCAACAACGGAUCUCUUGGCUCUC
RNAcentral lists this unclassified non-coding RNA (211 nucleotides) under plant metagenome. RNAcentral's name for it is "partial contains small subunit ribosomal RNA, internal transcribed spacer 1, and 5.8S ribosomal RNA". The record is from RNAcentral.